AUCCAGCUAACCAGUCACAAAUAGGACGAAACGCGCAUCCUGGAU
Molecule: non-coding RNA, 45 nt
Organism: Schistosoma rodhaini
Lineage: Eukaryota; Metazoa; Platyhelminthes; Trematoda; Strigeidida; Schistosomatidae
Source: Rfam